This is a long non-coding RNA of Daphnia carinata, 1457 nucleotides long. RefSeq lists it as uncharacterized. The record is from RefSeq and is a predicted model, not a curated record. The transcript has 5 exons. Lineage: Eukaryota; Metazoa; Arthropoda; Branchiopoda; Diplostraca; Daphniidae.
UUUUCGCCCCCUUUUGCUUAUUUUAGUUUAUCUUACGAGUUUCUAUUGCGCAUUAUAUAACAAAAGUUUUGCAACGAUGGAAACAAGGAGAAACAAGGAGAUUGGAAUGUCAACAAGGAGAACAAAGAAAGAACCAUCGUUUGCGAUUGGUUUGAUCAACUUUCGCAGCGUGAAACAAAUGCAAAUUUAUUUCAUGCAGUUAGGUUUCUGCUGCAAAACCUCAAAGUUAAUUCUACAACUGUGUCAGCUGCAUGGAACUGGAAGGAAUAAAACAUGUUGCAGUGUGAAAGAAAGAAACUCGCACUCAAACCAGUGUGCCGGGGGUUCAUCCCAUAUGAUUCAACAGUUUAUUAUUACAGUUUGAAGUACAUAUCGAAACUCAGCUCUUUUCUGUGUGGCCUUGUUUACCCUUGGCUUAUGAUAACCAUGGAACAGAUGGUGUCUCUACAGUCACAAACAAAGAAGAUUGCUCAUGCUGGUCGGAACGGAGACGCCGGAAAGUAAAUUUCAUUCUUUUCAUGUUGCUGUUGACAUAUUUUGCCAAACAAAGCUAGUCAAUAUUCAAUGCCCAUUGAAAAUAUUGCUAUAGCCCUGCACCGUUUGGAUAAACUGGCCAACUCCCACGCCCUUCGCUUCUACCCUAUUAGUAGCUGCACAACCGCUUCAAGGAUCUAACAGCCCAAGAUAAACACUAGAUCUCAGAGCACCACUAAUUACCUCUGCCCACAUCCAUCAAGUCCACUUACUAUAGCGGAGUGUAUAAACAAAGUUGAUGUACAUCUAAACGAACGUCCUCAAUCAUAACAAAAGAUACUUACGUUUCCCGAACACGUAAAAUAACAACAAUAAGAGCGAACGAAAAACUAAAGCUGGGUAACAGUCAAGAGGUUUCAAAAGUGCCCAGGAUAGACGAAAAAGAGAACAUAACCGGCGCUGCGUUAGCGGAGUAAGCCAGUGUAAAAAUGACCCAGUAGCAAAACGUCACGAUAAGACAACGUAAAACCCAUCGAUAAGAACACCGAUUAGAACCCGCUCUUGUACAGCCUGAAACACUGUUAUAUCGGCGCUCUUUGCGGGAAUUCUUCAUAGGAGUGACUAGUGACACCGCCUACAUCUAUUUUUACAUAUAGGGAAAUGAAAGGCUGGAAUUACAAUAACGAUCAACUCAACUGUUUAAUUGUUUUAAUAAUCGGGUUGAGUGAUGCACUGUCUAUCCGAGAUUCAAACAGAACAGGUACACCUUAUGACUUCGCAUUUGAACACGGAGAAAGAUGGAAUAAAAAAGGACAUUGGUAAGCUCAUAAAACGUUUUCAACUGAAAUUUGAAAGAUUGUGCAAACACUUGACGAAGCUUAUACAACAACAGUGAUUUUUCCUUGACAGUGAUGAAUCGAGGGUGAGUAAGCCCUGCCGAAAAAUGAUUACACUAAACUGGUAAUAAAUGCUUAAACCAUCAA